Molecule: ribosomal RNA, 465 nt
Filed under: uncultured bacterium
Lineage: Bacteria
Description: partial 16S ribosomal RNA
Rfam family: Bacterial small subunit ribosomal RNA
Source: RNAcentral
ACUACGGGCGGCAGCAGUGGGGAAUAUUGCGCAAUGGGCGAAAGCCUGACGCAGCGACGCCGCGUGAGGGAUGAAGGUCUUCGGAUCAUAAACCUCUGUCAGCAGGGAAGAACGGUCACUGUGCUAAUCAGCAGUGAAUUGACGGUACCUGCAAAGGAAGCACCGGCUAACUCCGUGCCAGCAGCCGCGGUAAUACGGAGGGUGCGAGCGUUAAUAGGAAUUACUGGGCGUAAAGCGCUCGUAGGCGGUAUGUCAAGUCAAGGGUGAAAUCCCCGCGCUCAACGUGGGAACUGCCUUUGAAACUGGCAAACUGGAGUGUGUGAGAGGAUAGUGGAAUUCCAGGUGUAGGAGUGAAAUCCGUAGAUAUCUGGAGGAGCAUCAGUGGCGAAGGCGACUAUCUGGCACAUAACUGACGCUGAGGAGCGAAAGCGUGGGUAGCAAACAGGAUUAGAUACCCGAGUAGUC